This 400-nucleotide ribosomal RNA is filed under the name uncultured bacterium. RNAcentral's name for it is "bacterial SSU rRNA". It matches the Rfam family "Bacterial small subunit ribosomal RNA", at positions 358 to 774 of the family's 1533-position model. The record is from RNAcentral.
GGAGUAUUGCACAAUGGGCGCAAGCCUGAUGCAGCAACGCCGCGUGAGCGAUGAAGGUCUUCGGAUCGUAAAGCUCUGUCCUCUGGGAAGAAGAAGUGACGGUACCAGAGGAGGAAGCCCCGGCUAACUACGUGCCAGCAGCCGCGGUAAUACGUAGGGGGCGAGCGUUAUCCGGAAUUAUUGGGCGUAAAGAGUACGUAGGUGGUUGCGUAAGCGGCAGGUGAAAGCCCGGGGCUUAACUCCGGCGAGCCUGUCGAACUGCGCGACUUGAGUGCAGGAGGGGAAAGUGGAAUUCCUAGUGUAGCGGUGAAAUGCGUAGAUAUUAGGAGGAACACCAGUGGCGAAGGCGACUUUCUGGACUGUAACUGACACUGAGGUACGAAAGCGUGGGGAGCAAACA